Nanorana parkeri is the source of this 100-nucleotide long non-coding RNA. RefSeq lists it as uncharacterized. The record is from RefSeq and is a predicted model, not a curated record. Lineage: Eukaryota; Metazoa; Chordata; Amphibia; Anura; Dicroglossidae. The transcript is spliced from 3 exons.
UCCUCCAUCAUACAAAUACAUUGGAGACAAUUGUCCUCCUCCAGGCUUGUGGUCACAGUUUGGUGAAGACCCUUUUCUGUCCCCCCCCAUGACUGUCCCC